This is a long non-coding RNA of Cygnus olor (mute swan), 1406 nucleotides long. RefSeq lists it as uncharacterized. The transcript is spliced from 2 exons. The record is from RefSeq and is a predicted model, not a curated record. NCBI's taxonomy places the organism in Eukaryota, Metazoa, Chordata, Aves, Anseriformes, Anatidae.
UCUCCUCAAAAAUCAGAGGACUGUUUGCUCAUCCCCUUCUUCUGUGUUGGUAAAAGAUGCAGGCAGACUCCAUCCUUUGAUCCACUCUGGUGGUGUGAUGUGCCAUAACACAAUGGAUGUAAACGGUCGUAUCCAGGUACUGUCCCAGUAUACAUGUUUUCCUCAACUAAGAAGCCCUAAGGGAAACUUGCCCUUCUCACAGUUCAAGUUUUAUUUCCUUUAAAACAUAUUAAAACUCUGUGGAGAUAGAGCUGCAGGACCUAAUUUUGAUGCUCUGAAUCACCUGUGGAAAUCUUACCUCCUUUGGCUGCUGUUUAAAGGAUGAAUUUAUGAGCACCUGGAUAUAAAAUGAAGCUUUUGUCUUGAACGCCAGUCUCACAACUUCAACAAUAUUAGUUUCUGAAUAAUGUUUUUCUUUCUCUUUUGCAAAGCCUUGCCUUUGCCUGUGACUCCAUUUGUGUAUUACAUAGUGUUCAGGUGGAAAUUUUCUCAUAUAUUGCUUCCAGUCUAAUAGCUUUUCUGCAUCUAUUGAUAAAUCCUAGGAGCUGUUGCCCUGACACAUGAAGGAUCUCAUCUCAGAAGUGUGUUUUAGAAGAACGUGUUCCUAUUCACCAAUGUUAUAUUUAAAACAAAAUAAAGAGAUUGAGUUGCUUCGGGCACUCACCUUUGCCUUUAGCAUGAUUUCUCAAGCACUGUAAGCCACACAAAAGGACAAAGGAUAUUUCAGUGCCAGGCCAGAGAGACUUGAGCCAUGAAAUACCUUUCCAGGAUGAAGAUCACAGAUAUUGAGAUCACAUGCUGAAAAGAAAAGGUAGUUUUCAACUCAUAUUUUCAUGACCCACUAGAACACGUUAGCCAAGAAAUGUUUCAAAGCCUACUCAUCAAAGCAAAGAAGGCAAUAAACAGAUUUGGUUGUACACUGUCUCUCUUGCUGCCAUCUACUGUUUUCCUGUGGAAGCAUGGAAGAUUUCAAAUACUGUUCCAUUAUUUUUCCUUCUACCUACUACAUUAAUCCUGCCUACAGUUUGGCAAAAUUUCACAGAGCAUGUGAGGAGACACCAUUCAAGCUGAUAUACUCACUCCGCGGCUCCAGAAAAUAGCAAGCAUAGCUCUUGCCUUUGCAGAGUUAUUGACAGUAGCUUCUGGUACUGGAGAUGCCUGGCUCAGAUCGGUGUUGCUCGUGAGCACCUGUGGGAAAACCAGCCCCUGGCAGGAAAGGUUAAUGCUAGCUAAUGCUAGCUACACACCAGAAAUGCUCUUCAGAAGUUGCUCUGUUCAUCCUUUGCCAGCAGAAGGGCACUGGGAAAGCACCAGGUGCUGCUCAGAAGUGAGGGACUGCAAAAGUUCUUGUGCAUGUUGUGCAGCCUCACGUAGAGAUGGAUGCUGUUAAAUUUUGCUCAUUAUCU